This is a long non-coding RNA of Hyla sarda, 631 nucleotides long. RefSeq lists it as uncharacterized. The record is from RefSeq and is a predicted model, not a curated record. The transcript has 4 exons. NCBI's taxonomy places the organism in Eukaryota, Metazoa, Chordata, Amphibia, Anura, Hylidae.
UCCCAGCAUGCUGGGAGCAACAGCAGUAGGGCAGCCUUACCUCCUGCCACCGCCUCCACUGACUCCGCUCCUGGGGUCCGAUGGUGGGGAUCGGGGGCCCCAGCCUCAGAUUUCAGUGUGAAGGAGGAGGAACCAAGCUGCUAAGAUGCAGCAGAUCACGCAGGAUUUGGAGACAGGGCUUGGAGCUCUGUACAUGAAGCAACCCAGGGCAAGGAGGGGAAGCAGGAGGCAAGCGAUGCUGUGGCACUUAAGCAGCUUAGCCCUGCCUCCUUGACACUUAAGCCUGGUCUCACUUCUUCAACUAUAUGACCUGUCUCUGCCACAUUUCCAUUACUACUGGAAAAGAAAACGCAAUAUUAUAAUCCAGAAUCAUAAUCGUCCUAAGAGAAAUAAAGUUUUGGGAAGGUGUCACAAUACCACAAUAAAAUGGAUGCACAUAACUACUGGACUGUCUCACUGGACUUUUGGUGGGGAAGCAGAAUGAAGAAUUUGUACAGUUUGUGGCUGUUGUAUAAGGGAUUGUGCUCACACAAUGUUCCUAUUUAGCCUGCGUAUUAUUGACUCAUAUAUUGUCCUUACUGAAUUCUCUGCUUUCAUGUUUCAUGUUUUUUCUCCUUUAAUAGAAUACAUG